Molecule: ribosomal RNA, 1154 nt
Filed under: human gut metagenome
Description: bacterial LSU rRNA
Rfam family: Bacterial large subunit ribosomal RNA
Source: RNAcentral
AGUGAGAAUGCCGGAAUGAGUAGCGAGAAUUAUGUGAGAAUCAUAAUGGCCGAAAGACUAAGGUUUUAGAAGGAAGGUUCGUCCGCUUCUAGUCAGCCGGGAGCUAAGGCGAGGCCGAAAGGCGUAGUCGAUGCACAUACGGUGGAGAUUCCGUAGCCGCCAUUAAUUUAAACAGAGGGACACUUUCAAGGGGCAUGACCCGGGCGUUGGUAGACCCGGGCGUAAGGGACCGAAAAUUAGUAGGGAAGCAUGCUUUAAGGAAGGCGAGAAAAGCUCUGUGUAUAGAAGAUGGCGCCCGUACCGCAAACCGACACAGGUAGUCAGGAAGAGAAUUCUAAGGCCAACGGGAGAAGGGUAGUUAAGGAACUCGGCAAAUUGACCCCGUAACUUCGGAAUAAGGGGUGCUCACGAGAGUGAGCCGCAGUGAAUAGGUCCAGGCGACUGUUUAUCAAAAACACAGCUCUCUGCUAAAUCGAAAGAUGACGUAUAGGGGGUGACACCUGCCCGGUGCUGGAAGGUUAAGAGGAAGGGUGCAAGCUCUGAAUUGAAGCCCCAGUAAACGGCGGCCGUAACUAUAACGGUCCUAAGGUAGCGAAAUUCCUUGUCGGGUAAGUUCCGACCCGCACGAAUGGUGUAACGAUCUGGACACUGUCUCAACUACCCACCCGGCGAAAUUGUAGUACCGGUGAAGAUGCCGGUUACCCGCGGCAAGACGGAAAGACCCCAUGGAGCUUUACUGUAACCUGAUAUUGGGUUUCGGUAUUUUAUGUACAGGAUAGGUGGGAGACUAUGAAACUAAGGCGCCAGCCUUAGCGGAGUCGCCCUUGGGAUACCACUCUUAAAGUACUGAAAUUCUAACCUGCGGCCGUGAAUCCGGUCGGGGGACAUUGUCAGGCGGGCAGUUUGACUGGGGCGGUCGCCUCCAAAAGAGUAACGGAGGCGCUCAAAGGUUCGCUCAGCAUGGUCGGAAACCAUGCCUUAGAGUGUAAACGCAAAAGCGAGCCUAACUGCGAGGCUGACGGGCCGAGCAGUAACGAAAGUUGGAGUUAGUGAUCCGGCGGUAUGUGAAUGGAAAUGCCGUCGCUCAACGGAUAAAAGCUACCCUGGGGAUAACAGGCUGAUCUCCCCCAAGAGUCCACAUCGACGGGGAGGUU